This is a long non-coding RNA of Mirounga angustirostris (Northern elephant seal), 699 nucleotides long. RefSeq lists it as uncharacterized. The transcript has 4 exons. NCBI's taxonomy places the organism in Eukaryota, Metazoa, Chordata, Mammalia, Carnivora, Phocidae. The record is from RefSeq and is a predicted model, not a curated record.
UUUUCCAUUACAAAACACAUCCUCCCACUUCCUUUGCCAACAUUAGGAGCUCCAGUUAACCAUCUGCUCUGAUCUCCCAGCUAGCGCAAGAAUAGGAGCACAGAGGAGACAUGAGAGGGUCCAUCACAGAGCAUCUUUUUGGAAAUUGUCUGAUGUGACUUCUAACUACGACCCUGUGCGGUAGGCAGGGCAGGCGUAUUUAUGGGCAUUUAGCUGCCAGAGAAACAUACCUGCUCAGAGGUGCCUGUUUUAGAACCACAUGGACAGAAGAUCGCAGAGCUGAUAUCAGAGCCCUGGGCUCUUGACUCCAAGCUUCUCCGCUGGUAAUAAGGAGCGCCCAGGAAAAAGAUCAAAGACCGUGAUAUCCUCCCCAGAAGAUGCUGCCUCUUACCACUGGUGUGGAGGGUGUGGGGUUCCCACCACGUGUGAACUGGGGAUCAAGUGGCUGAAGCUGGUGAUGUGUGGUGAUUCCUGUGCUGGGGAGGGGGGCGCUAUCUCCCCCCCAAGAAAACUUCCUGUCCUGGAGACAGUUAAGAAAAUUGGGAGCCUUAAAGGAAAUAAAGCUGGCUGUCGUUAGAACGAAAUGACACUUAACCGAUGUCUGGGCGCCUGCUCUGUGUCAGGCAGGGCGCUCUGUGCUGCAAAGAAAGGCGUGAGCGGACAGACUAGGAUCUGGCCUCGCUUUGGGGCAAACCAUGG